CCUUUCGUCACGGUCUCUGCCGGCGUCCGUCAUGUGACCCGGUCCGGGAUGAAGGGAGGAAGGCAGAAAUCACAGUGUGAAGCUGGACGUGUUGACAUCAGUGCGCUCGGUGCGGGCCCAGAGGAUGACACAAAAAACUACUGAGCUGAUUCCUGCUGGAAGGAUGUGACGAGGACAGAAGACUGGAUUGAAUUCAAGACGACUGAACCUCGAUGGAGUAUUGAACCUCCACCUCGUGCGUGAGCUGCAGCCACUUCUGAAGAGCUUCUGGCACCGAGCGUUCAGACUGCAUCUCCUUCUCCGCUCUCUUCAGGGCCUUCCGCACCUUCAGGGGGGAACACAGAGCACGUCGGGGUGCAGAGGUUUGAGUCAAGUUCUGUGUUGAAUAUUUAAAAACCUUUUCCCAUGAGAUUAUUAAUCAUAAACAGCAACAGAGAGGGAUUAGUAACUCUGUGAAUCUAAAGUCUUGUGAAUGUCCAAUAAUCUAUUUUGUGAAAGAA
Molecule: non-coding RNA, 500 nt
Organism: Paralichthys olivaceus (Japanese flounder)
Lineage: Eukaryota; Metazoa; Chordata; Actinopteri; Pleuronectiformes; Paralichthyidae
Source: RefSeq, a predicted model, not a curated record